Molecule: ribosomal RNA, 420 nt
Filed under: uncultured bacterium
Lineage: Bacteria
Description: bacterial SSU rRNA
Rfam family: Bacterial small subunit ribosomal RNA
Source: RNAcentral
AAGGAAUAUUGGACAAUGGCCGCAAGGCUGAUCCAGCCAUGCCGCGUGCAGGAUGAAGGUGCUCUGCAUCGUAAACUGCUUUUAUCUGGGAAUAAACCCCUCUACGUGUAGAGGGCUGAAUGUACCAGAAGAAUAAGGAUCGGCUAACUUCGUGCCAGCAGCCGCGGUAAUACGAAGGAUCCAAGCGUUAUCCGGAUUUAUUGGGUUUAAAGGGUGCGUAGGCGGCUUAUUAAGUCAGUGGUGAAAGCCUGAAGCUCAACUUCAGAAUUGCCAUUGAUACUGAUGAGCUUGAGUAUAGUUGAGGUGGGCGGAAUGUGUCAUGUAGCGGUGAAAUGCUUAGAUAUGACACAGAACACCGAUUGCGAAGGCAGCUCACUAAGCUAUAACUGACGCUGAUGCACGAAAGCGUGGGGAGCAAAC